GAAUUAAAUGGAUGAAAUAUGAAGUUUUAUUAAAAGAAAAAGGGGUGAAAAGAACAAAGUUUUGUCCAUCUUUGUUCAUCAUAGCUGAAAGUUAGAGAAGAGAAAGGAGAAGAGAAAGCUCUUGAGUAUUCGGUCAUUAGGAGGAGGAAAAUUGAAGGAAAUCCCCAACCAUAGUGGGCUUGGAGCUGUGAGGGAAUUCGGAGUGGCCACCCGUUCUGAAAGUUUGAUUUUCUUCUAGUGAACUGGACAUCCUUUUAAUUACGUUUGAGGUUUUGGGCUUUUAAAUGUAAUAAGGCCGCUUAUUUAUUUUUGAUGGUUUUUAUAUGUUUUAUUAAGAUAGGUAAUAUUUAUAUUUUAAA
Long non-coding RNA from Gossypium arboreum, 359 nucleotides. RefSeq lists it as uncharacterized. NCBI's taxonomy places the organism in Eukaryota, Viridiplantae, Streptophyta, Magnoliopsida, Malvales, Malvaceae. The record is from RefSeq and is a predicted model, not a curated record. The transcript is spliced from 2 exons.